Molecule: transfer RNA, 82 nt
Organism: Linderina pennispora
Lineage: Eukaryota; Fungi; Kickxellomycota; Kickxellomycetes; Kickxellales; Kickxellaceae
Rfam family: tRNA
About the family: Transfer RNA (tRNA) molecules are approximately 80 nucleotides in length. Their secondary structure includes four short double-helical elements and three loops (D, anti-codon, and T loops).
Source: Rfam
GUCAGUGUGUCCGAGUGGUUAAGGAGACAGACUCGAAAUCUGUUGGGCUCUGCCCGCACAGGUUCAAAUCCUGUCGCUGACG